This 425-nucleotide ribosomal RNA is filed under the name uncultured bacterium. Its description in RNAcentral is "partial 16S ribosomal RNA". It matches the Rfam family "Bacterial small subunit ribosomal RNA", at positions 354 to 796 of the family's 1533-position model. The record is from RNAcentral.
GUAGGGAAUCUUGCGCAAUGGGCGAAAGCCUGACGCAGCCAUGCCGCGUGAAUGAUGAAGGUCUUAGGAUUGUAAAAUUCUUUCACCGGGGACGAUAAUGACGGUACCCGGAGAAGAAGCCCCGGCUAACUUCGUGCCAGCAGCCGCGGUAAUACGAAGGGGGCUAGCGUUGCUCGGAAUUACUGGGCGUAAAGGGAGCGUAGGCGGAUAGUUUAGUCAGAGGUGAAAGCCCAGGGCUCAACCUUGGAAUUGCCUUUGAUACUGGCUAUCUUGAGUAUGGAAGAGGUAUGUGGAACUCCGAGUGUAGAGGUGAAAUUCGUAGAUAUUCGGAAGAACACCAGUGGCGAAGGCGGCUCACUGGACUGGUAUUGACGCUGAGGUGCGAAAGCGUGGGGAGCAAACAGGAUUAGAUACCCGUGUAGUCC